This is a non-coding RNA of Trichobilharzia regenti, 45 nucleotides long. Lineage: Eukaryota; Metazoa; Platyhelminthes; Trematoda; Strigeidida; Schistosomatidae. The record is from Rfam.
ACCCAGUCUGAGAGUCCCAAAUAGGACGAAAUGCGCAUCCUGGAU